UCGGGAAUUUUGGGUAAUGGGCGAAAGCCUGACCCAGCAACGCCGCGUGAAGGAUGAAGUAUUUCGGUAUGUAAACUUCGAAAGAAUAGGAAGAAUAAAUGACGGUACUAUUUAUAAGGUCCGGCUAACUACGUGCCAGCAGCCGCGGUAAUACGUAGGGACCAAGCGUUGUUCGGAUUUACUGGGCGCAAAGGGCGCGUAGGCGGCAAUUCAAGUCAUCUGUGAAAUCUCCGGGCUUAACUCGGAACGGUCAGAUGAUACUGCUUUGCUAGAGUGCAGAAGGGGCAAUCGGAAUUCUUGGUGUAGCGGUGAAAUGCGUAGAUAUCAAGAGGAACACCUGAGGUGAAGACGGGUUGCUGGGCUGACACUGACGCUGAGGCGCGAAAGCCAGGGGAGCAAACGGGAUUAGAUACCCCAGUAGUCCCUGAGCGGGCUGGCAAGGCGCAU
Molecule: ribosomal RNA, 447 nt
Filed under: uncultured bacterium
Lineage: Bacteria
Description: bacterial SSU rRNA
Rfam family: Bacterial small subunit ribosomal RNA
Source: RNAcentral